Molecule: long non-coding RNA, 816 nt
Filed under: Homo sapiens (human)
Lineage: Eukaryota; Metazoa; Chordata; Mammalia; Primates; Hominidae
Description: HSALNT0134880
Source: RNAcentral
GUUGUUGGGGAUGACAGGAGUCUUCUCCCAGUCUGCAGACGUGGAAACUUCAGUCAAGGAGCUUAAGACCUGCCUUCUCAAGGUCUCCGCCCCCUGCUUUAUCUUGCUGUCUGGAAGACAGAUGCUACCUCUUGGGCCUUGAGGACAAGACUCCACCUCUGGGAGCAACAAGAUAGAAGGAGCCUGGGCUCCUGUCACUGUGGAGCAACUGUGAUGCUUGGGUCACUUCCCUGGAUUUGUAGAAGCCACUGCCAUUUUUUUUGGCUUGUUUGUUGAUCAUUCCAAGCUAACUCCUAACAAAUAGAAUGAAAUCUCACAGGAGCCUGUGUAGAUGGCUUCUAAACCAGACCAACUGACAUAGGACCCUGGAAGAGCUUCUCUCUGGUUGCCCACCCCUUUGCUCCCAUCUCUCAAGCUGCUGUGGCUAGUGGCCAAGACAAACUUUUCUUCUCAAAGGUCAGUUCUUGGUCGAGUUUAGUCAUUAAAAUUAAAAUAUACAUUGGACCAACCCUCUAAUCAUCAGUCUGGCACCGAUGUUUGUAGAGUCAAUAAAUAUGCUGCCAUACAUUUAUUUCCUGUUCUCCCUCUCUUGGGUCACUUCUCUGGAUUUGUAGAUGUCACUGCCAUUUUGUUUUUUUUUUGUUUUUUUGUUUUUGUUUGCAAGGGUGGAGGUUGUAUGCUGAUUACCGCAAGCUAACUCCUAACAAAUAAAGUGCAAUCUCACAGGAACUCGUGUAGAUUGCUUCUAACCCAGGACAACUUACAUGGGACCCUGGGAGAGUGCUCUUUCACUAUUUCCCAGUAUGUGGUUUCUUC